GAUGAACGCUGGCGGCGUGCCUAAUACAUGCAAGUCGAGCGAACGGACGAGAAGCUUGCUUCUCUGAUGUUAGCGGCGGACGGGUGAGUAACACGUGGAUAACCUACCUAUAAGACUGGGAUAACUUCGGGAAACCGGAGCUAAUACCGGAUAAUAUUUUGAACCGCAUGGUUCAAAAGUGAAAGACGGUCUUGCUGUCACUUAUAGAUGGAUCCGCGCUGCAUUAGCUAGUUGGUAAGGUAACGGCUUACCAAGGCAACGAUGCAUAGCCGACCUGAGAGGGGGAUCGGCCACACGGGAGCUGAGACACGGUCCAGACUCCUACGGGAGGCAGCAGUAGGGAAUCUUCCGCAAGGGGCGAAAGCCUGACGGAGCAACGCCGCGUGAGUGAUGAAGGGCUUCGGAUCGUAAAACUCUGUUAUUAGGGAAGAACAUAUGUGUAAGUAACUGUGCACAUCUUGACGGUACCUAAUCAGAAAGCCACGGCUAACUACGU
Molecule: ribosomal RNA, 496 nt
Filed under: uncultured bacterium
Lineage: Bacteria
Description: partial 16S ribosomal RNA
Rfam family: Bacterial small subunit ribosomal RNA
Source: RNAcentral